CCAUGAUCAGACAGCAUGCUUCGAUGCGACGGAACUUGUUUGAUCUCUAACUCAUCGACGGUUUUCAUUUCCCUUUAUCCGCCGGGGUGAU
This 91-nucleotide small RNA is filed under the name Hespellia stercorisuis DSM 15480. RNAcentral describes it as "RAGATH-35 RNA". It matches the Rfam family "RAGATH-35 RNA". From Rfam's summary of the family: Clostridium (Firmicutes). Nearby to self-cleaving ribozyme genes Lineage: Bacteria; Bacillati; Bacillota; Clostridia; Lachnospirales; Lachnospiraceae. The record is from Rfam by way of RNAcentral.